Molecule: long non-coding RNA, 812 nt
Organism: Oncorhynchus gorbuscha (pink salmon)
Lineage: Eukaryota; Metazoa; Chordata; Actinopteri; Salmoniformes; Salmonidae
Exons: 3
Source: RefSeq, a predicted model, not a curated record
UGCACUAUUGUAAUGUGACUGUUCCACUGGAUGUCAUAAGGUGAAUGUACCAAUUUGUAAGUCGCUCUGGAUAAGAGCGUCUGCUAAAUGACUUAAAUGUAAUGUAAAUGUAUGUAAUCUCUUUUAUAAUCUGACUCUAUUACCAUGUCUACUUUGUCUGCAAAAGUUCAUAACCAAAUUCCUGUUUUGAUAAACGUAUGUGUCACAGAAACCAUGUGCUACUUGUAUGUGAAGAUGCCUUUGCUGUCUGUGUUGAUGGCCUACUCUGAUGGAAUGCAGUAAUGAAUCAGAGUGCCUCUAAGUGACUCUGUUCAUUCAUUUCAGGGAAGAGACUUGUAUACUGCCCUGACAAAUGAGGCCUAUGAGGAGUUCCGACAUGGUUCCGUCUGGCCCCAGAAGCUGCCGAUGGAACCCAGUGCCCGCUAUGUCCCAAGUGGACUCUCUGCCACAGAGGUUUUCCCGAGCAACAAAAGUUGCAACAGGGGCAGAAAGCGAAAUGGCAGAAGUCUCUUUCCAGAAAACUCAAGAUGAUGGAGAGGAAGAACAGUAUCCUCCAUUGAUGGUCCCCCACCAGCAGUCGCUUCCAGACUGCACUCCAGACUGCAGAGUAACAGAUUGAUGGUCCCCACCAGCAGUCGCUUCCAGACUGCACUCCAGACUGCAGAGAAACAGAUUGAGGACCAAUCUGAAGGAAACCUUCAGUCUGCAGCUAGAACAGAGGUUCCUCUGUGGCCUGAUGACAAAAUAUGCAGUAUAUAUACACUGCUCAAAAAAAUAAAGGGAACACUCUAGUGGUAGCAUGAGACCGAAUC